CCCUUAGAUGUUCUGGGCCGCACGCGCGCUACACUGAUGCAUUCAACGAGUCUAAAACCUGCUCUGAUAGGGGUGGGUAAUCUUUUGAAUGUGCAUCGUGAUUGGGAUAGAUGAUUGCAAUUUUUCAUCUUCAACGAGGACUGCCUAGUAAACGCAAGUCAUCAGCUUGCAUUGAUUACGUCCCUGCCCUUUGUACACACCGCCCGUCGCUCCUACCGAUUGAAUGAUCCGAUGAAUAUCAUGGAUUGAGGAUGCAAGCAGGUUCGCCUGUCUUCAUCUUCGAGAAGUGAAGUAAAUCUUAUCAUUUAGAGGAAGGAGAAGUCGUAACA
Molecule: ribosomal RNA, 329 nt
Filed under: uncultured eukaryote
Lineage: Eukaryota
Description: partial 18S ribosomal RNA
Rfam family: Eukaryotic small subunit ribosomal RNA
Source: RNAcentral